AACAAGGAUUCCCCUAGUAACGGCGAGUGAAGCGGGAUGAGCUCAAAUUUGAAAGCUGGCAGCAAUGUCCGCGUUGUAAUCUCGAGAGAUGUUUUCCGCGCUGGACCACGUACAAGUUCCUUGGAAUAGGAUGUCAUAGAGGGUGAAAAUCCCGUACUUGAUGUGGACGCCCAGUGCUUUGUGAUACGUCUUCGAAGAGUCGAGUUGUUUGGGAAUGCAGCUCAAAAUGGGUGGUAAAUUCCAUCUAAAGCUAAAUAUUGGGGAGAGACCGAUAGCGAACAAGUACCGUGAGGGAAAGAUGAAAAGCACUUUGGAAAGAGAGUUAAACAGUACGUGAAAUUGUCAAAAGGGAAGCAUUUGAAGUCAGACGUGUAUUGCAGUAUUCAGCCUUGCUUUUGCUUGGUGUAUUUGCUGUAGUACAGGCUAACAUCAGUUUUGAGUGACGGAUAAGGGUAGAGAGAAUGUGGCAUCCUCGGAUGUGUUAUAGCUCUUUACUGGAUACGUCGUUUGGGACUGAGGAACGCAGCGCGCCGCAAGGCAGACCCUCGGGUACUUUCGCGCUUAGGAUG
Molecule: ribosomal RNA, 569 nt
Filed under: Exobasidium rhododendri
Lineage: Eukaryota; Fungi; Basidiomycota; Exobasidiomycetes; Exobasidiales; Exobasidiaceae
Description: eukaryotic LSU rRNA
Rfam family: Eukaryotic large subunit ribosomal RNA
Source: RNAcentral